This 301-nucleotide ribosomal RNA is filed under the name uncultured bacterium. RNAcentral's name for it is "partial 16S ribosomal RNA". It matches the Rfam family "Bacterial small subunit ribosomal RNA", at positions 509 to 807 of the family's 1533-position model. The record is from RNAcentral.
CAGCCGCCACGGUAAUACGUAGGUGGCAAGCGUUGUCCGGAAUUAUUGGGCGUAAAGGGCUCGCAGGCGGUUUCUUAAGUCUGAUGUGAAAGCCCCCGGCUCAACCGGGGAGGGUCAUUGGAGACUGGGAAACUUGAUUGCAGAAGAGGAGAGUGGAAUUCCACGUGUAGCGGUGAAAUGCGUAGAGAUGUGGAGGAACACCAGUGGCGAAGGCGACUCUCUGGUCUGUAACUGACGCUGAGGAGCGAAAGCGUGGGGAGCGAACAGAAUUAGAUACCCCGGUAGUCCCUGUCUCUUAUAC